RNAcentral lists this ribosomal RNA (434 nucleotides) under uncultured Lachnospiraceae bacterium. RNAcentral's name for it is "partial 16S ribosomal RNA". It matches the Rfam family "Bacterial small subunit ribosomal RNA", at positions 341 to 792 of the family's 1533-position model. Lineage: Bacteria; Bacillati; Bacillota; Clostridia; Lachnospirales; Lachnospiraceae. The record is from RNAcentral.
ACGGAAGGCAGCAGUGGGGAAUAUUGGUCAAUGGGGGCAACCCUGAACCAGCGACGCCGCGUGAGUGAAGAAGUAUUUCGGUAUGUAAAGCUCUAUCAGCAGGGAAGAUAAUGACAGUACCUGACUAAGAAGCACCGGCUAAAUACGUGCCAGCAGCCGCGGUAAUACGUAUGGUGCAAGCGUUAUCCGGAUUUACUGGGUGUAAAGGGAGCGUAGGCGGUCUGGCAAGUCUGACGUGAAAACCCGGGGCUUAACCUCGGGAUUGCAUUGGAAACUGUCGGACUUGAGUGUCGGAGAGGAAAGCGGAAUUCCUAGUGUAGCGGUGAAAUGCGUAGAUAUUAGGAGGAACACCAGUGGCGAAGGCGGCUUACUGGACGGUAACUGACGUUGAGGCUCGAAAGCGUGGGGAGCAAACAGGAUUAGAUACCCUGGUA